RNAcentral lists this long non-coding RNA (3281 nucleotides) under Sus scrofa (pig). Its description in RNAcentral is "lncRNA (ENSSSCG00000060709.1)". The record is from RNAcentral. Lineage: Eukaryota; Metazoa; Chordata; Mammalia; Artiodactyla; Suidae.
UUCCAAUUGACUCCUAAGCACAGAUGUCGGGGUCUCAACGCAGCAGUCUGUCCCCCUGCCCAGCUCUGCAGCAGAGCCCGCUCCAGGCCCCAGGUCUCCCCGAAAGGGAAGUGCAGCCUCAGCCACCCCCGGCCCACCUUGAACUCAGAGCACCCAGGGGAGCCCAGGCCCCAGCCUCAGAGAGGCCUGACACCUCACGGGCAAAGGGCAGACCUCCUUGUCUGAUCUGCACCCCCCAGUCCCCCCACCCCAGCCAGGGCUGCCCGCCCUGAGCUCCAGGGAAGACUUUGCCAGAGGAGAGGCUGGCGCUGAGGCUGAAAACACUGUCAGGGCCUAGCAGAUGGCCCAGGGAGCUUUCCAGAUGUUGCACACAAUAAAGCGAGUUUGUAUUUUAUUAUUUCUUUUUUUUUUUAAUGAGAAGAGGGGGAGUUGUAACAGGGGCAAAAUGCGACCUUUCAAAUCGUCGGUGGGGCGCGACCAUGUGUGUGUCAGGCAGGGAGCUGGGGCUGCGCGGCGGAGGCCAGACGCUGGGCAUGUUCGCCUUUCAGGCCGGGCCAGGGCUGCUGCUCGUUACGGGAGGCCGCUCCCAGGACCGGCGCAGUUGGGAAACUGCAGAAACGGCCUCUUCCCCUCCGUGUUUUCAUCGUUUCUGUGUAGACAAGCGUUCCAAAUGGGAUUAAAUGAAAAGGAAAAAUGAAACACACAUUGCCAACAUUAGUUAGCACCCUUCGGUUUUUUUCUUUCUUUUUUCCUCUCUCUCCCUCUGUGUCACUCUCUGUCUCUGUCUCUCUCUGUCUCUCUCAACAGGGAGGGACAGACACCAUAACGAUCCCGACUUUGGCGAGGGAAAAAACCAAAAAGCAGUUGUGAUGUUUUAUCCUCCUGAUGAGGCGGCUCCUGAUGUGAGCCUGCCUCCCUCUUUGGUGCGAGAAGCUGGGAUGAAAGUUCCUCCUCCCCCCCCCACCCCCAGACUCUGAAGGACAGACCUUUUGAACAAGCCAUUUCCUGGUUCGAGCAUCCUUGUCCUCUCCCCCCCACCCCGGUGUCAGGCACCACGACAGACAUCAAAGCCCUAAUUAAACCCAUUCUUUAAUUGUGCCUUUUUGCUUCAUUACUUUCUCUUCCCCUUUGAUGGGGGCUGCACCUCUCUGAUCACCCCCCACCCCCAAAUGAUCCCUUUUGCUUUAUUUUUCAGAGGAUCUCAUGGGCACGUAGUCCCCAGGCCCCCGCCCCCGCCCCUGCCCCGCUGGCUUUUUUUUCUUCUGCAAGUUGGGGACCCAACCCCUUCCCUGCCCCAUCCCCCCAUCCUCCCCGAGCAGGCCCACCGUUAAAGGGAUAUUCACACCUUUUCCCCUCCCGGCUCCUCUAUUCUUAUGAAGUUUCCAUUGAUUAUUGUCCUGAAAUUCCUUGGUCCAGUCAUAGAUAAAAGGAUAAUGACUUCAAAGGGAAGAGUUAAGAGUUUAACCCCAAGCUAAGAGAGUGGACAACUAGAUAAUUGAGGGUAAUAACCCAUCACAGACUUGCUUUCAAAGGGUCACCAAGCUGAACUCUCAGGUGGCUUUAAUUUUAUUAACAUUUGUAGCCGCUGACUUGAGAAGACGGUCUGGAGUCAUUACGAGCUUCAAAGCUCCAGGUAACACUCCCGCCCGGCCGGGAACCUGACAUCAAUUUGGGCCUGAGCGCUGCUCCCCUCACAGGAUGACAGCGACGGCUGCUCGCCCCCAACUUCUCUGCCAAACCACAGACCCAGAGACCCCGGGGGCGGGAGGAGGGGGGCCUGGGGGACAUCAAAGGUCCCGCUGGGCCCCUGCCUCUUCAUGAGGGCAAUCAAGAAUUCGAAUCAAAUGAAGACACGUUAAAAAGCGCACGGGUUUUCCGAGGGCUGGGACGUCCUCUUCCGCUCUUCUGGGGUUGGGUUUUUCAAAGGCUGGGGGAUUCCGCCUCCUCCCCAGGUGCCCCCAUCCACUCUGUGCUGGUCUGGGGCACAGGCGGUGGGUGGGAGGAGGGCUUCAGCCCUCGGGGCCUCUGAGGGGUGGGGGGGGCCUCUCUGGUCUCCCCCCGACACCCUCCCCUCCAGGCUGGGCCUGUCUCAACCCCUCUUGCCCCCUCCGAGCCACCCCGUGUUCAUGGAGAGAUUCGGGCCUGGCCUCCAAGCCCACAUUUAUUUUAUGAAUGAGACGAUAAGCAGCUCCACCAAGCCCCAGGACUUGCCCUGACAGGGGCUCACUGGGAGAAAGAAGCAGAACCAAGACCAGACCCGGGGCUCUGGGGCAGGCGAGACCCGGGGAGAAUGAACUAGAAGUUUGCCCCAAGAGAGACCUGACAUUUAGCCUAGACACUCGGAACUUUCCUGGCUGGCAUCUCUGCGAAGCCUCCCGUCGCCGUCCUGCUCUGCCCGCCUGCAUGUGCCCUUCACGAACCCCCACAGGCGAGAGGGGGCCUCUGCGUGGUCACUGCGGCCCCUUCAGUCGGGUGCCCUGAUUUAUUAGGCCGAUGGCCCGGCUCUGGGCCCUCGGGCGUCGGCGGGAGCUUGAUCCUCUUCCAGGUCACUGGAAUCGCCAGGCCUUGCCUGUGCGCGGCUUCGGGCUGUCCUUUUGGCCGUUAGAAGUUUAACAAAAGGCCUUUGAAAUGGAUCGACACUUGAACAGCUGCCAGGGCAGCGAUAGCCCGUCUCCGCUGACCGAGAGGCAGGGCUCUGACCGCAUUCCUCGCCCGGCCGUCCUGUCGGAGGCUGGGGGCUGGAGGAAGUUACUAGAAUACCUUCGCGGCAGCCAGCGGGCCUCAGCCCUGUCAACCCCUCUCCUUCUGGACUUCUACACAGAGGCCCCAAAGGACCCCAGUCCCCCAAAGACCAGAAAAUGCCCCAGGCCACCAGGGCCAGCCCCAAGCUUGCCACUAAGUGAGUGCAGUGUCCCUUCUGUCACCCUUCCCUGUGUGUGCAGAGCACAAAGGGCUCCGCCCAGCUGUCAGGGGCCUGGCUCCCCACCAACCCGAGAGGACCACCUGACUGUAGCCCUCACUCCAGUCCCUGCCAGAACCUUCUCUCAGGAAGUAUAAAUGGGAGCUCCUGUGUGGCUCAGUGGGUUAUGAACCCAACUAGUACCCAUGAGGAUGUGGGUUCAAUCCCUGGCCUAGCUCGGUGGGUUAAGGAUCCGGUGUUGCCGUGAGCUGUGGUGUAGGUCGCAGACAUGGCUCAGAUCUGGCAUUGCUGUGGCUGUGGUGUAGGCUGGCAGCUACAGCUCCGAUUAGACCCCUAGCCUGGGAACCUCCACAUGCCUUGG